CUUGUACUCCCUCCGUCCGAAAAUACUUGUCAUUGAAAUGGAUGUAUCUAGAUGUAUUUUAGUUCUAGACACAUCCAUUUUGAUGACAAGUAAUUCCGGGCGGAGGGAGUACUUG
Non-coding RNA from Triticum urartu, 115 nucleotides. The record is from Rfam. NCBI's taxonomy places the organism in Eukaryota, Viridiplantae, Streptophyta, Magnoliopsida, Poales, Poaceae.